GGGGGGAGGCCGGAUCCUGGGCUGUGUCCCGGCGCCCUGGGUUCCGGGGCCUGCGCUGUUGGAUUCGCGCUCCCGCCCCGCAGCCCCCU
Molecule: microRNA precursor, 89 nt
Filed under: Canis lupus dingo (dingo)
Lineage: Eukaryota; Metazoa; Chordata; Mammalia; Carnivora; Canidae
Description: mir-8799 microRNA precursor family
Rfam family: mir-8799 microRNA precursor family
Source: Rfam by way of RNAcentral